Molecule: ribosomal RNA, 253 nt
Filed under: uncultured bacterium
Lineage: Bacteria
Description: partial 16S ribosomal RNA
Rfam family: Bacterial small subunit ribosomal RNA
Source: RNAcentral
UACGUAGGGCGCAAGCGUUGUCCGGAAUUAUUGGGCGUAAAGAGCUCGUAGGCGGCUUGUCACGUCGGGUGUGAAAGCCCGGGGCUUAACCCCGGGUCUGCAUUCGAUACGGGCUGGCUAGAGUGUGGUAGGGGAGAUCGGAAUUCCUGGUGUAGCGGUGAAAUGCGCAGAUAUCAGGAGGAACACCGGUGGCGAAGGCGGCUUUCUGGACACUUACUGACGCUGAGACGCGAAAGCGUGGGGAGCAAACAGG